UGAGUACGAGAUGCUACGGCAUCGAAGCAGUCUAUGUCAUACUUCCAAGAAAAGCUUGCACUGUCAUAAACAAAGAAUGCCUGUACCAUAACCGACACAGGUGGGUAGGUAGAGUAUACUAAGGGGCGCGAGAUAACUCUCUCUAAGGAACUCGGCAAAAUGACUCCGUAACUUCGGGAGAAGGAGUGCCUUAUUUAUAAGGUUGCAAUAACAAGAUCCAAGCAACUGUUUAUCAAAAACACAGGUCUCCGCUAAGUCGUAAGACGAUGUAUGGGGGCUGACGCCUGCCCAGUGCCAGAAGGUUAAAGAAGUUGGUUAGUGUAUGCGAAGCUGAUGACUGAAGCCCUGGUGAACGGCGGCCGUAACGAUAACGGUCCUAAGGUAGCGAAAUUCCUUGUCGGGUAAGUUCCGACCCGCACGAAAGGCGUAAUGAUUUGGAUACUGUCUCGGAGAGAGGCUCGGUGAAAUAGACUUGUCUGUGAAGAUGCGGACUACCUGCACCAGGACAGAAAGACCCUAUGAAGCUUUACUGUAACUUGAAAUUGGAAUUGGACUUUGCUUGCGCAGUAUAGGUGGGAAGCGUUGAAAAUAUUCUUGCGGGAGUAUUGGAGCUAUCAGUGAGAUACCACUCUUGUAAUGUUAGAUUUCUAGCUUUGAACCAUAAUCUGGUCAAAGAACAGUUUCAGGUGGGCAGUUUGACUGGGGCGGUCGCCUCCCAAAUGGUAACGGAGGCGUACAGAGGUUUCCUCUGAACGGAUAGAAAUCGUAUCUAGAGUGUAAAGGCAUAAGGAAGCUUGACUGUGAGACCUACAAGUCGAGCAGGGACGAAAGUCGGUCUUAGUGAUCUGACGGUACUGAGUGGAAAGGCCGUCACUCAACGGAUAAAAGUUACUCUAGGAUAACAGGCUGAUCUCCCCCAAGAGUUCACAUCGACGGGGAGGUUUGGCACCUCGAUGUCGGCUCAUCGCAUCCUGGGGCGGUAGUACGUCCCAAGGGUUGGGCUGUUCGCCCAUGAAAGCGGUACGCGAGCUGGGUUCAGAACGUCGUGAGACAGUUCGGUCCAUAUCCGGUGUAGGCGCUAGAAUAUUGAGAGGAGCCUUCUUUAGUACGAGAGGACCGAGAAGGACACACCGCUGGUGUACCAGUUAUCGUGCCAACGGUAAACGCUGGGUAGCUAUGUGUGGAGUGGAUAACCGCUGAAAGCAUCUAAGUGGGAAGCCCACCUCGAGAUGAGUAUUCCC
Molecule: ribosomal RNA, 1241 nt
Filed under: metagenome
Description: bacterial LSU rRNA
Rfam family: Bacterial large subunit ribosomal RNA
Source: RNAcentral